Molecule: ribosomal RNA, 335 nt
Filed under: uncultured bacterium
Lineage: Bacteria
Description: partial 16S ribosomal RNA
Rfam family: Bacterial small subunit ribosomal RNA
Source: RNAcentral
CCUACGGGUGGCAGCAGUGGGGAAUAUUGGGCAAUGGGCGCAAGCCUGACCCCGCAACGCCGCGUGAGCGAUGAAGGUCUUCGGAUUGUAAAGCUCUGUCGCAGGGGACGAAGUAUGACGGUACCCUGUAAGAAAGCCCCGGCAAACUACGUGCCAGCAGCCGCGGUAAUACGGAGGAUGCGAGCGUGAUCCGGAUUUAUUGGGUUUAAAGGGUGCGCAGGCGGAAGAUCAAGUCAGCGGUAAAAUUGAGAGGCUCAACCUCUUCGAGCCGGUGAAACUGGUUUUCUUGAGUGAGCGAGAAGUAUGCGGAAUGCGUGGGGUAGCGGUGAAAUGCA